AGAGUUUGAUCAUGGCUCAGAUUGAACGCUGGCGGCAGGCCUAACACAUGCAAGUCGAGCGGCAGCGGGGGGAAGCUUGCUUCCCCGCCGGCGAGCGGCGGACGGGUGAGUAAUGUCUGGGAAACUGCCUGAUGGAGGGGGAUAACUACUGGAAACGGUAGCUAAUACCGCAUAACGUCGCAAGACCAAAGAGGGGGACCUUCGGGCCUCUUGCCAUCGGAUGUGCCCAGAUGGGAUUAGCUAGUAGGUGAGGUAAAGGCUCACCUAGGCGACGAUCCCUAGCUGGUCUGAGAGGAUGACCAGCCACACUGGAACUGAGACACGGUCCAGACUCCUACGGGAGGCAGCAGUGGGGAAUAUUGCACAAUGGGCGCAAGCCUGAUGCAGCCAUGCCGCGUGUGUGAAGAAGGCCUUCGGGUUGUAAAGCACUUUCAGCGGGGAGGAAGGGAGCAGACUUAAUACGUCUGUUCAUUGACGUUACCCGCAGAAGAAGCACCGGCUAACUCCGUGCCAGCAGCCGCGGUAAUACGGAGGGUGCAAGCGUUAAUCGGAAUGACUGGGCGUAAAGCGCACGCAGGCGGUCUGUUAAGUUGGAUGUGAAAUCCCCGGGCUUAACCUGGGAACUGCAUUCAAAACUGACAGGCUAGAGUCUCGUAGAGGGGGGUAGAAUUCCAGGUGUAGCGGUGAAAUGCGUAGAGAUCUGGAGGAAUACCGGUGGCGAAGGCGGCCCCCUGGACGAAGACUGACGCUCAGGUGCGAAAGCGUGGGGAGCAAACAGGAUUAGAUACCCUGGUAGUCCACGCUGUAAACGAUGUCGAUUUGGAGGUUGUGCCCUUGAGGCGUGGCUUCCGGAGCUAACGCGUUAAAUCGACCGCCUGGGGAGUACGGCCGCAAGGUUAAAACUCAAAUGAAUUGACGGGGGCCCGCACAAGCGGUGGAGCAUGUGGUUUAAUUCGAUGCAACGCGAAGAACCUUACCUACUCUUGACAUCCAGAGAAGCCUGCAGAGAUGCGGGUGUGCCUUCGGGAGCUCUGAGACAGGUGCUGCAUGGCUGUCGUCAGCUCGUGUUGUGAAAUGUUGGGUUAAGUCCCGCAACGAGCGCAACCCUUAUCCUUUGUUGCCAGCACUUCGGGUGGGAACUCAAGGGAGACUGCCGGUGAUAAACCGGAGGAAGGUGGGGAUGACGUCAAGUCAUCAUGGCCCUUACGAGUAGGGCUACACACGUGCUACAAUGGCGUAUACAAAGAGAAGCGACCUCGCGAGAGCAAGCGGACCUCAUAAAGUACGUCGUAGUCCGGAUUGGAGUCUGCAACUCGACUCCAUGAAGUCGGAAUCGCUAGUAAUCGUAGAUCAGAAUGCUACGGUGAAUACGUUCCCGGGCCUUGUACACACCGCCCGUCACACCAUGGGAGUGGGUUGCAAAAGAAGUAGGUAGCUUAACCUUCGGGAGGGCGCUUACCACUUUGUGAUUCAUGACUGGGGUGAAGUCGUAACAAGGUAACC
This 1503-nucleotide ribosomal RNA is filed under the name Dickeya sp. MS1. RNAcentral's name for it is "bacterial SSU rRNA". It matches the Rfam family "Bacterial small subunit ribosomal RNA". The record is from RNAcentral. Lineage: Bacteria; Pseudomonadati; Pseudomonadota; Gammaproteobacteria; Enterobacterales; Pectobacteriaceae.